ACAGUGGACGCGAGCAUCUGUGGCCAAGUUUUUAAGGGCGCACGGUGGAUGCCUUGGCACCAGGAACCGAUGAAGGACGUGGGAGGCCACGAUAGUCCCCGGGGAGCUGUCAACCAAGCUUUGAUCCGGGGGUUUCCGAAUGGGGAAACCCGGCAGUCGUCAUGGGCUGUCACCCGCUGCUGAACACAUAGGCAGUGUGGAGGGAACGAGGGGAAGUGAAACAUCUCAGUACCCUCAGGAAGAGAAAACAACCGUGAUUCCGGGAGUAGUGGCGAGCGAAACUGGAUGAGGCCAAACCGUAUGCGUGUGAUACCCGGCAGGGGUUGCGCAUUCGGGGUUGUGGGAUCUCUUUUUCAUAGUCUGCCGGCUGUGAGACGAGUCAGAAACCGUUGAUGUAGGCGAAGGACAUGCGAAAGGUCCGGCGUAGAGGGUAAGACCCCCGUAGCUGAAACAUCAACGGCUCGUUUAAGAGACACCCAAGUAGCACGGGGCCCGAGAAAUCCCGUGUGAAUCUGGCGGGACCACCCGCUAAGCCUAAAUAUUCCCUGGUGACCGAUAGCGGAUAGUACCGUGAGGGAAUGGUGAAAAGUACCGCGGGAGCGGAGUGAAAUAGUACCUGAAACCGUGUGCCUACAAGCCGUGGGAGCGUCGCUGUAUGUGCUUGCACAUGCAGUCGUGACUGCGUGCCUUUUGAAGAAUGAGCCUGCGAGUUAGCGGUGUGUAGCGAGGUUAACCCGUGUGGGGAAGCCGUAGCGAAAGCGAGUCCGAAUAGGGCGAUUGAGUUGCACGCUCUAGACCCGAAGCGGAGUGAUCUAGCCAUGGGCAGGUUGAAGCGGAGGUAAGACUUCGUGGAGGACCGAACCCACCAGGGUUGAAAACCUGGGGGAUGACCUGUGGUUAGGGGUGAAAGGCCAAUCAAACUCCGUGAUAGCUGGUUCUCCCCGAAAUGCAUUUAGGUGCAGCGUCGUGUGUUUCUUGCCGGAGGUAGAGCACUGGAUAGGCGAUGGGCCCUACCGGGUUACUGACCUUAGCCAAACUCCGAAUGCCGGUAAGUGAGAGCACGGCAGUGAGACUGUGGGGGAUAAGCUCCAUGGUCGAGAGGGAAACAGCCCAGAGCAUCGACUAAGGCCCCUAAGCGUACGCUAAGUGGGAAAGGAUGUGGAGUCGCAGAGACAACCAGGAGGUUGGCUUAGAAGCAGCCACCCUUGAAAGAGUGCGUAAUAGCUCACUGGUCAAGUGAUUCCGCGCCGACAAUGUAGCGGGGCUCAAGCGUACCGCCGAAGUCGUGUCAUUC
This 1294-nucleotide ribosomal RNA is filed under the name Streptomyces sp. Root1295. RNAcentral describes it as "bacterial LSU rRNA". It matches the Rfam family "Bacterial large subunit ribosomal RNA", at positions 1 to 1210 of the family's 2925-position model. Lineage: Bacteria; Bacillati; Actinomycetota; Actinomycetes; Kitasatosporales; Streptomycetaceae. The record is from RNAcentral.